This 450-nucleotide ribosomal RNA is filed under the name uncultured bacterium. Its description in RNAcentral is "partial 16S ribosomal RNA". It matches the Rfam family "Bacterial small subunit ribosomal RNA", at positions 338 to 795 of the family's 1533-position model. The record is from RNAcentral.
CCUACGGGGGGCUGCAGUAAGGAAUAUUGGUCAAUGGACGCAAGUCUGAACCAGCCAUGCCGCGUGGAGGAUGAAGGUCCUCUGGAUUGUAAACUUCUUUUAUUUGGGAAGAAACUCCCGAUUUCCAUCGGGAUUGACGGUACCAGAUGCAUCAGCACCGGCUACCUCCGUGCCAGCAGCCGCGGUCAUACGGAGGGUGCCGGCUUUAUCCGGUUUAACGGGGUUUAAGGUGGGCAGGUAAGUGAGGGUUGAAAUCUCCGGGCUUAACCCGGAAACUGCCAUUGAUACUAUUUGUCUUGAAUACUCUGGAGGGGAGCGGAAUAUGUCAUGUAGCGGUGAAAUGCUUAGAUAUGACAGAGAACACCCAUUGCGAAGGCAGCUCACUACGGAAAUAUUGACGCUGAGGCACGAAAGCGUGGGGAUCAAACAGGAUUAGAUACCCUAGUAGUC